Molecule: long non-coding RNA, 291 nt
Filed under: Mytilus galloprovincialis (Mediterranean mussel)
Lineage: Eukaryota; Metazoa; Mollusca; Bivalvia; Mytilida; Mytilidae
Source: RNAcentral
UGUUUCUUAAAAAUAAACUUUGGUUAAAAUUCACAAUUCUAAACAGUCCAGCCUAUUUAAAACAUGAGGUCAGAUAAAUAUCAGGAUUUAAAAGUGAACUCAGGUGCUUCUUUGUUCAAAUAUUUUAAAUGUAUACUAAAAUGACUACAGACUGUGCAUGAAGUGAUUGGAGACUAUAUGGCAGACAAAUACAAGAACUAUUCUGUAACACCUCAUCACUAGUGAAGAUUUCCUUGGGAAUAAACAGAGACAACUUUCUCACAUCUCCUGUCAUGAUAGGAAUGAUUUCUG